Molecule: ribosomal RNA, 289 nt
Filed under: uncultured Brevibacterium sp.
Lineage: Bacteria; Bacillati; Actinomycetota; Actinomycetes; Micrococcales; Brevibacteriaceae
Description: partial 16S ribosomal RNA
Source: RNAcentral
CUACUGGGGUAUCUAAUCCUGUUCGCUCCCCAUGCUUUCGCUCCUCAGUGUCAGUUACAGCCCAGAGUCCCGCCUUCGCCACCGGUGUUCCUCCUGAUAUCUGCGCAUUUCACCGCUACACCAGGAAUUCCAGACUCCCCUACUGCACUCUAGUCAGCCCGUACCCACUGCACGCGCAACGUUAAGCGUUGCGUUUCCACAGCAGACGUGACCAACCACCUACGAGCUCUUUACGCCCAAUAAUUCCGGACAACGCUCGUACCCUACGUAUUACCGCGGCUGCUGGCAC